This 432-nucleotide ribosomal RNA is filed under the name uncultured archaeon. Its description in RNAcentral is "bacterial SSU rRNA". It matches the Rfam family "Archaeal small subunit ribosomal RNA", at positions 565 to 997 of the family's 1478-position model. The record is from RNAcentral.
GUGGGAAUUGCUGGAGAUACUAUUAGACUUGAGACCGGGAGAGGUUAGAGGUACUCCCAGGGUAGAGGUGAAAUUCUGUAAUCCUGGGAGGACCGCCUGUUGCGAAGGCGUCUAACUGGAACGGUUCUGACGGUGAGGGACGAAAGUUAGGGGCGCGAACCGGAUUAGAUACCCGGGUAGUCCUAACUGUAAACGAUGCGGACUUGGUGUUGGGGUGGCUUUGAGCUGCUUCAGUGCCGAAGGGAAGCUGUUAAGUCCGCCGCCUGGGAAGUACGGUCGCAAGACUGAAACUUAAAGGAAUUGGCGGGGAGCACCACAACGCGUGGAGCCUGCGGUUUAAUUGGAUUCAACGCCGGACAUCUCACCAGAGGCGACAGCUGUAUGAUAGCCAGGUUGAUGACUUUGCUUGACUAGCUGAGGGGUGGUGCAUGG